GCAGAUGUAGUACAUCGGUAGUAUAUCAGCUUCCCAAGCUGAGGAGGCGGGUUCGACUCCCGUCAUCUGCU
Molecule: transfer RNA, 71 nt
Filed under: Lachnospiraceae bacterium
Lineage: Bacteria; Bacillati; Bacillota; Clostridia; Lachnospirales; Lachnospiraceae
Also listed under: 1 other name
Description: tRNA-Gly
Rfam family: tRNA
About the family: Transfer RNA (tRNA) molecules are approximately 80 nucleotides in length. Their secondary structure includes four short double-helical elements and three loops (D, anti-codon, and T loops).
Source: RNAcentral